Molecule: ribosomal RNA, 380 nt
Filed under: uncultured Hydrogenophaga sp.
Lineage: Bacteria; Pseudomonadati; Pseudomonadota; Betaproteobacteria; Burkholderiales; Comamonadaceae
Description: bacterial SSU rRNA
Rfam family: Bacterial small subunit ribosomal RNA
Source: RNAcentral
CCUCUAGAGAUAGAGGAGUGCUCGAAAGAGAGCCGUAACACAGGUGCUGCAUGGCUGUCGUCAGCUCGUGUCGUGAGAUGUGGGUUAAGUCCCGCAACGAGCGCAACCCUUGUCAUUAGUUGCUACGAAAGGGCACUCUAAUGAGACUGCCAGUGACAAACCGGAGGAAGGUGGGGAUGACGUCAAGUCCUCAUGGCCCUUAUAGGUGGGGCUACACACGUCAUACAAUGGCUGGUACAAAGGGUUGCCAACCCGCGAGGGGGAGCCAAUCCCAUAAAGCCAGUCGUAGUCCGGAUCGCAGUCUGCAACUCGACUGCGUGAAGUCGGAAUCGCUAGUAAUCGUGGAUCAGCAUGUCACGGUGAAUACGUUCCCGGGUCUU